Molecule: small RNA, 28 nt
Filed under: Bombyx mori (domestic silkworm)
Lineage: Eukaryota; Metazoa; Arthropoda; Insecta; Lepidoptera; Bombycidae
Description: ovarian small RNA-829
Source: RNAcentral
UACGAAUAUAGAUGUUGAAGAGUGUCGC